Dalotia coriaria is the source of this 1219-nucleotide long non-coding RNA. RefSeq lists it as uncharacterized. Lineage: Eukaryota; Metazoa; Arthropoda; Insecta; Coleoptera; Staphylinidae. The transcript has 10 exons. The record is from RefSeq and is a predicted model, not a curated record.
GAUUAUCGCGUGUGUUGGGCGCCGUUGCAGAUUGUGCUGCGAGGUGUUCUCAGCGCAGUUUUGUGCCGGUCGUUGGUUGGGUAGGGCGUGUUUUUCGGGGCUGUUAUCAUUUUAUUUGGAGUUUGUAAAUCAGUAAAUCGCGUUCAUUUCGAUAGUCCAUCGACUGAAUUUAGUUAGUAGUGACGCGUCUAGUGUUUAUUAUUAGAUAAUCAGGUGUCGAAUAUACAAAAUCGGUAAUUUUCUUUGCAUUCAUUGUGCGUGUUGCAAGAUGCGUGCUAUCAACUUGUUUACACUGCACGUUCGCGAGAUACAGGUUGCAUGCAACGUUUUUGCAACUUUUGUUGUGAUAUUAUUUGGGCAAUGGAUUGGAACAUGGACAAUCUUCUUCGGGAUAACCAUGAAAGAACGGUCUUGGUGAAUUCUGCGCCAAAUAUUUGCCCGAGGAUCAACUCUUGGCUACCUGAAGUGGCGUCCGUCUUGUCCGUGUUCUAGCGACUUUCGUGCACCGCGGGAAAGAAAGGAAUUCGACCUGCAACCCGCGAAAAUUUGCAUAAAAGCGCGAUUUCUUCACCCUUUUCUCGUGAUAUGUUGGUAUUUUUUCGUGUUUGCACGCGACCUUAGCGGGUCAAUAAAUUAAACUUGACGUCUAGAGAUGCGGAAUUAAAUUCUCCGUCGGGUGGGAUUUUGCACCUGAGUCUGACAUCGUAGAAGGACCAUUCUGGUAUCAGAUUAUAAGACUAAUUUUUGAUGGUUUUGGGGAUUUUGCACCUGAGUCUGACAUCGUAGAAGGACCAUUCUGGUAUCAGAAUAUAAGACUAAUUUUUGAUGGUUUUUGGGAUUUUGCACCUGAUUCUGACAUCGUAGAAGGACCAUUCUUGUAUCAGAUUGGAUUUUGCACCUGAGUCUGACAUCAUAGAAGGACCAUUCUUGUAUCAGAUUAUAAGGAUUUUGCACCUGAGUCUGACAUCGUAGAAGCACCUUUCUUGCAUCAGAUUAGAUUUUGCACCUGAGUCUGACAUCGUAGAAGCACCAUUCUUGCAUCAGAUUGGAUUUUGCACCUGAGUCUGACAUCGUAGAAGAACCAUUCUUGCAUCAGAUUGUUAUUAUUAAAUUUCAUUAUCUUUAAUAACUUUUGUGAUUAUUACACAAAUUGACUCCCAUAAUUUAUGCUUGUGUGUUUUCUUUAAUAAAGAAUAUUUUAAAGUUUUUCUAAUUAUAA